This 500-nucleotide ribosomal RNA is filed under the name uncultured bacterium. RNAcentral describes it as "partial 16S ribosomal RNA". It matches the Rfam family "Bacterial small subunit ribosomal RNA", at positions 30 to 523 of the family's 1533-position model. The record is from RNAcentral.
AUUGAACGCUGGCGGCAUGCCUUACACAUGCAAGUCGAACGGCAGCACGGGAGCAAUCCUGGUGGCGAGUGGCGAACGGGUGAGUAAAGUAUCGGAACGUGCCCAGUCGUGGGGGAUAACGUAGCGAAAGUUACGCUAAUACCGCAUACGAUCUAUGGAUGAAAGCGGGGGAUCGCAAGACCUCGCGCGAUUGGAGCGGCCGAUAUCAGAUUAGGUAGUUGGUGGGGUAAAGGCUCACCAAGCCGACGAUCUGUAGCUGGUCUGAGAGGACGACCAGCCACACUGGGACUGCGACACGGCCCAGACUCCUACGGGAGGCAGCAGUGGGGAAUUUUGGACAAUGGGCGCAAGCCUGAUCCAGCCAUGCCGCGUGCAGGAUGAAGGCCUUCGGGUUGUAAACUGCUUUUGUACGGAACGAAAAGGUUUGGCCUAAUACGCUGAACUCAUGACGGUACCGUAAGAAUAAGCACCGGCUAACUACGUGCCAGCCGCCGCAGUAA